CCCUACGGGGCGCAGCAGUAGGGAAUUUUCGGCAAUGGGGGGAACCCUGACCGAGCAACGCCGCGUGAAUGAAGAAGGAAUUCGUUCUGUAAACUUCUGUUAUGAAGGAAGAAAGGCGGAUGAAGGAACUGACAUCCGAGUGACGGUAUUUUAUGAGAAAGCCACAGCUAACUACGUGCCAGCAGCCGCGGUAAUACGUAGGUGGCAAGCGUUAUCCGGAAUUAUUGGGCGUAAAGAGGGAGCAGGCGGCAGCAAAGGUCUGUGGUGAAAGACUGAAGCUUAACUUGAGUAAGGCAUUGGA
Molecule: ribosomal RNA, 301 nt
Filed under: uncultured bacterium
Lineage: Bacteria
Description: bacterial SSU rRNA
Rfam family: Bacterial small subunit ribosomal RNA
Source: RNAcentral